UGAACUUUUAGGUCGGUCAA
RNAcentral lists this non-coding RNA (20 nucleotides) under Arabidopsis thaliana (thale cress). The record is from RNAcentral. Lineage: Eukaryota; Viridiplantae; Streptophyta; Magnoliopsida; Brassicales; Brassicaceae.